This 216-nucleotide long non-coding RNA is filed under the name Homo sapiens (human). Its description in RNAcentral is "HSALNT0281782". Lineage: Eukaryota; Metazoa; Chordata; Mammalia; Primates; Hominidae. The record is from RNAcentral.
AGAAAAUCGACUGUUAAAACAGAAGGUGACUCACAUUCUCGCUUACAAGGAUGACUUCAUGUCAGAAAGGGCAGAUCGGGAACAGGCUCAAGGUAGGAUUCAGGAACUGGAGGAAAAGGUCACCUCUUUGCUGCACCAGGUGUCCUGGAGACAGGAUUCUCAAGAGCCAGACGCCGGCUGGAUUCACGCUGGGAGCAAAACUGCCAAGUACUUGGC